CCUACGGGAGGCAGCAGUAGGGAAUUUUCGUCGAUGGGCGCAAGCCUGAACGAGCAAUGCCGCGUGAACGAGGAAGGUCUUCGGAUCGUAAAGUUCUGUUGAAGGGGAAAAAGAGCGGAGAGAGGAAAUGAUCUCUGAUUGAUAUUACCCUUCGAGGAAGUCACGGCUAACUACGUGCCAGCAGCCGCGGUAAUACGUAGGUGGCGAGCGUUAUCCGGAUUGAUUGGGCGUAAAGGGUGCGUAGGCGGCCUGCUAAGUCUAGAGUGAAAGGUACCGGCUCAACCGGUACAGGCACUGGGAACUGGGGGGUGAGAGGGCAGGAGAGGGCGGUGGAAAUCC
Molecule: ribosomal RNA, 339 nt
Filed under: uncultured bacterium
Lineage: Bacteria
Description: partial 16S ribosomal RNA
Rfam family: Bacterial small subunit ribosomal RNA
Source: RNAcentral